GAGUUUGAUCGUGGCUCAGAUUGAACGCUGGCGGCAUGCCUUACACAUGCAAGUCGAACGGCAGCACGGGAGCUUGCUCCUGGUGGCGAGUGGCGAACGGGUGAGUAAUGCAUCGGAACGUAUCCUGGAGUGGGGGAUAACGUAGCGAAAGUUACGCUAAUACCGCAUAUUCUGUGAGCAGGAAAGCGGGGGACCUUCGGGCCUCGCGCUCUUGGAGCGGCCGAUGUCGGAUCAGCUAGUUGGUGAGGUAAAGGCUCACCAAGGCGACGAUCCGUAGCAGGUCUGAGAGGAUGAUCUGCCACACUGGAACUGAGACACGGUCCAGACUCCUACGGGAGGCAGCAGUGGGGAAUUUUGGACAAUGGGGGCAACCCUGAUCCAGCCAUGCCGCGUGAGUGAAGAAGGCCU
This 408-nucleotide ribosomal RNA is filed under the name bacterium enrichment culture clone ALO1_GLFRUDD03GH8B9. Its description in RNAcentral is "bacterial SSU rRNA". It matches the Rfam family "Bacterial small subunit ribosomal RNA", at positions 9 to 417 of the family's 1533-position model. The record is from RNAcentral.